ACUUUAGGGGUGUCUGCAAUAAAUGCAGGCUGAGAUCUAACCCUUGGAACCUGAUCUGGAUCAUACCAGCGUAGGGAAAAGUAAAAC
This 87-nucleotide non-coding RNA is filed under the name uncultured Sphingobacterium sp. RNAcentral describes it as "TPP riboswitch (THI element)". It matches the Rfam family "TPP riboswitch aptamer (THI element)", at positions 6 to 97 of the family's 105-position model. Rfam says of the family: Vitamin B(1) in its active form thiamin pyrophosphate (TPP) is an essential coenzyme that is synthesised by coupling of pyrimidine and thiazole moieties in bacteria. The previously detected thiamin-regulatory element, thi box was extended, resulting in a new, highly conserved RNA secondary structure, the THI element, which is widely distributed in eubacteria and also occurs in some archaea. Analysis of operon structures identified a large number of new candidate thiamin-regulated genes, mostly transporters, in various prokaryotic organisms. The record is from RNAcentral. Lineage: Bacteria; Pseudomonadati; Bacteroidota; Sphingobacteriia; Sphingobacteriales; Sphingobacteriaceae.